AUUCCACAUCCCCCAUCCACUCCCUUUCCAUUCAAUUUGUGGCCCCAUCUACCGUCUUGGUCAGGUCAGCAUCUUCUUUCGUUCGUUCGUUCGUUUGUUCGUUCUGCCUCUGCCUUCGUCUCUCUGCUCGUUUGUUAAAUGUUUGGGUUUUGUUUGAGUUUAUUGAGUGAAUUCCUGGAAAAACGCAGGAAUUUGUCUUUGGUCUUUCGGUUCUGUUUUUUCUCUCUCUCUCUCUCUUCGCC
RNAcentral lists this long non-coding RNA (242 nucleotides) under Drosophila guanche. The record is from RNAcentral. Lineage: Eukaryota; Metazoa; Arthropoda; Insecta; Diptera; Drosophilidae.